CUACGUGCCAGCAGCCGCGGUAAUACGGAAGGUCCAGGCGUUAUCCGGAUUUAUUGGGUUUAAAGGGAGCGUAGGCUGGAGAUUAAGUGUGUUGUGAAAUGUAGACGCUCAACGUCUGAAUUGCAGCGCAUACUGGUUUCCUUGAGUACGCACAACGUUGGCGGAAUUCGUCGUGUAGCGGUGAAAUGCUUAGAUAUGACGAAGAACUCCGAUUGCGAAGGCAGCUGACGGGAGCGCAACUGACGCUUAAGCUCGAAGGUGCGGGUAUCAAACAGGAUUAGAUACCCUGGUAGUCCGCACAGUAAACGAUGGAUGCCCGCUGUUGGUACCUAGUAUCAGCGGCUAAGCGAAAGCAUUAAGCAUCCCACCUGGGGAGUACGCCGGCAACGGUGAAACUCAAAGGAAUUGACGGGGGCCCGCACAAGCGGAGGAACAUGUGGUUUAAUUCGACGCAACGCGAAGAACCUUACCAGGUCUUGACAU
Molecule: ribosomal RNA, 483 nt
Filed under: uncultured bacterium
Lineage: Bacteria
Description: bacterial SSU rRNA
Rfam family: Bacterial small subunit ribosomal RNA
Source: RNAcentral